CAAGAAGUUCAGCCUAGAACUUUAGGUACUUCGUUUUCAAGCCAAAGUUGUCUGGCACAGAUGAUUUUAAAAGAAAAUCUCCGGCUCCACCCAAACCUCACUGGUAUGAAACCCUUCCUUUAGAAUGUUAAGGAAAUCCACUGUUUUGAAACCUGUGGCUGACCUCGGCUUCAAACAUGGAAAUUCUCCAGACCAGGGAAGUAACGUGGUGCUACUUCAGGUCUCCAUCAAGGGUCUCUGUCACUUUAGCACUGCUGCUCAGCUGGGUGGGUUCCUGGGCUCCCUGCAGCAAGUGAGCAGGCUGAACUCACCCCACAGGCAGGCUUAGUGGGGGUUGGCUGGUGACUAUCAUGUGACUGGACUUGGGUUCCCCUCUAGGGAGAGCGCUCACAGCACCCUUCAGCCACAGCCUCAGGUGCAAGGCGGCACCAGGAAGGAGCCAGCUGCUGUGAGUCUCUGUGCUGUCUGGGGCCUCCUGAAGCUCCUCAAAGGAGGGGCUCCAGGGCUCUGGCUGCCACGGGCACUGGAGGUGGGGGCAAUCAUCCGUGGAACUCUGUGACAUUUUCUUUCUGUUUAUUCUUUAUGUUUUAGUGGAAUUCUGUGGUCCAGACUGGGUUUCAGACUCCGUGCUCUCAGAGUCAGCUAAAGUACAAAGGGGGAAAAAAAGAGAAAGUAGUGGGAAAAAUUAGAUUCUUGAUUUGUGUCCAGAUGGUUCUGGACGAAAAUAGACUCAGAGAUUCUCACUGCAAACUUGCCUCUGGUAUGAAGCUCCCCUCCCCUCUUCAUUUAAGGUCUUCUUGGUAGAAGAGGGAAUGGGGAUGGGAAAAUACUGGGAAUGUUCAUUUUUCUUUUUCCCAGCCAUAGAUUUAAAAGGCUGCACAGGUUCUAGCUGAGGGCUUUCCUGGAACACCAGGAGUCGCCCCGCACGCAGGGGCCUGGGAUGAUGGGGUUUGCACCAACUUGGAAGAGCUCCUCGAAGGCUGGCCUAAAGGCAGGAUGGGCUAGUGUGCUCUGCAGGUAGCAACAGUGUGCGCUGAGGAAGCACGGCAGCAGCUGGACCCAGGGAAAGGCUACAGAGCCCUCCAUGGUCAAGGCACACGGUCAAGUGAAAGGAGAAAGGCAGCGCCCAGGCCCUGGGCUCUGGGUCCCCCGCUGUCAGGAAGUACCACAGUCUCACACCCAUCCAUUCUCCUUCCCUUCGGAGAGGUGCUCCCAGGGAAUGGGCCUGCUGGAGGCCCAGCAGAAUGUGGAUGGCACCAAGUCCUCUUUGGGGCUAGCACAGGAGACUUGAAGCGUCCAGCUGUCAGAAACGGAAAACCUGGCAGAUGUAAUGGCUCACUUCUUGAUCCAUAGGGCAUGAGCUUGACAACACAACCACAGUGACCCUGGGGCCACACCCCAACCAGACAGAGGCAUGCCUUGUGGUCCUCUGGUCCCCCAAAUUAUUCCCACGCAUCCUUUGAUGCUCAGUGGGAGCUCAGUGCCCAUAAGCUACCACCCAAGCCAGGCGUCUUAAAGUCCAGGACUUCCUCUACUGAGGCAGCCCAGUGGCAGUCCAUCAGAUGCCGAUGCAAUGAGUAGUGGCCAGAUGGAAGAUACUUUUUAAAAAAUGCAAUUUCCUUUCUAAUGUUAAACUGCCUUAGAGGACAAGCAGAGUGCCAGUGAGUCAGUCCCUGGUUCUGAGUGCCAGGGCUGGGCAAGGGAGGAAAGCUGAAGAGAUCUCAGCGACAGGAACCAGGCAGAUGCCAGAGGCCAAAAGCAGCACAGUCCAAAGGAAGCAUCCAUGUGAACGUCAGGUGGUGAGAUGCAAGUCAGAUUCCAGGCACUGCUGCCACCAGACCCCAAGGCAGACACUGAAAGAGAAGCCCAGGCACUGGGGUUCAAAUGCUGGGACCUCUUUAUAAAUUGCCUGGGGUCAUAGCUGGGUUCAGCCCCGAGGUUUUUUUUCAGAGUCUGAGGGUUUAAACUUUAACUUUUAACUUUCCUAAUCCCCUUCACCUGUAUGUUAGGUAUUUUUUCAACUUUAAAUCAGCAUUAGGGGAAACCUUAUUUUAUAGGCAGUAUGUUUGAACAGAGAAUAAUAAUAGUAUUUCACAAUUUACUGGGCUUUAUAUUUAACAAAUCACUUUUCUAUCUCUUCUAUCAUGUGGGUUUCAAAAUUACCUGGUGAGGCGGAAAUGACGACUCCACAGACCAUCAGGCUCCCUGAAGCUUACACCAAAUCCACGAUUGGAGGCCUCCCAGCUUCCCCAUCCUCCCUGGAAACAAGAUUGGCAAUGAUUUCCAGAAACCAGUACUGCAGUGGAAGCAGCCAUCUAUGCACUUGCCACAAUUUUAACCACUAACCAAUAUAUACAAACAAACCUGCAAAGUUGGAAUAUUUUGGCCAAAAUCAUGGUUGUCCACUGCUACUUUCUAGAUCAUCAAAAUGCCCUCUGGUUGCCCAGAUGUUUUAUUCCAGACAGUAUGGUAAUGGUAACUUUUAUGAGACUGAUGCUAUGGAACCAUUUAUGGCCCCAAACAAAUUCAAAAUCUAUGAAGAUUUAUUGUGGAAGUUACAGAUUAGGAAAAGCUGGAGGAAAACGAAAACAGAGCUUAGUCUAAAUCUUUUCAUAGCCUUUCUAUCAGAGUGAUUGUCGAGUUAACUUCCAACCAGGAAGCAUGUAUACAAAGCAACUUAGGAUCCAAAUCGCUGAUACAGAAUGUUCCAAUAUGGGGCACACCUGUGCUUGGGAGGAGGUGAAAGAGAGUGGGGUGGAGAAGAAAGGAAUAGCUUUUAUCCUGGAGCAAAUGGAAACUCUUAAUGGGUGGGACAUGAAUAUGUCUGUCUCCAAGAUGUAUUUCUUUAUCAAUUACGGCUCAUCUACUAGUGACUAAGAGCCCAGACUAAAUUUGUGUAAGGCAAAACAUUAAUUUAUAGGUCUGCACAACUUACAAGUCUAGGGGCUGGCUGUUAGAGACUUAACGUUUGUAUUCCCCCCCAAUUCAAAAGUAGAAACCCUAGUGCUCCUUGUAAUGGUAUUUGGAGGUAAGGCCUUUGGGGAUAAUUAGGUUGAGAUGAUGUCAUGAGGGUGGGGUCCUCAUAAUGAGAACAAUGCCUUUGUAAGAGAUGAGAGAGUUCUCUCUCUCCCCCCGCCAUGUGCAGAUACAGCAAGGCAGCCAUAUGAAAUCCAGGAAGAGAGCUCUCACUGGGACCUGACCAUGCUGGGACCUUGACCUUGGACUUCUAGCUUCUAGAACUGUGACAAAUAAAUUCUCUUGUUAAGCCA
Long non-coding RNA from Sus scrofa (pig), 3269 nucleotides. RefSeq lists it as uncharacterized. NCBI's taxonomy places the organism in Eukaryota, Metazoa, Chordata, Mammalia, Artiodactyla, Suidae. The record is from RefSeq and is a predicted model, not a curated record.